UACGUAGGUCGCAAGCGUUGUCCGGAUUUACUGGGCGUAAAGAGCGCGCAGGCGGCUGGUCAAGUCCGAUGUGAAAUCUCCCGGCUUAACUGGGAAACUGCAUCGGAAACUGAUCGGCUUGAAGGUGGGAGAGGGUAGUGGAAUUCCCGGUGUAGUGGUGAAAUGCGUAGAUAUCUGGAGGAACACCGGUGGCGAAGGCGGCGUUCUGGACUGUUUCUGACACUGAGGAACGAAAGCCAGGGGAGCAAACGGG
RNAcentral lists this ribosomal RNA (253 nucleotides) under uncultured bacterium. RNAcentral's name for it is "partial 16S ribosomal RNA". It matches the Rfam family "Bacterial small subunit ribosomal RNA", at positions 524 to 776 of the family's 1533-position model. The record is from RNAcentral.